GUUGCAAGGAGUGGAGCAUGCUGGCUUCCUGACGGAACUCUGAGAAGUUCUUCAUGGCGUCCAUAGCUCGCAAGUGCUUCAGCAUGGACUCGCUAUCAGUCCCAGUGAAGGGAGCACCUCAGAGAAGACCAGCUUUCAGAAGGAAGAGCGACGUGGGAAAACCUGCAAAAUGGGCUGUCCACUGAGUCAAACAUUCUCAUCGGAAACCAACAAGAUCCCAAAAGGCAUCAAGGUCCCAAGCUCCGUUUCUAGGCUGAUGAUGUAAAUCCAGCUGAUAUGGACAACGUGUGGCCAGUUUAAUAGGGUUUUACUUCCUUUGCCUUCCAGCAGGACUUGGCCAUGCUCUGAAAUCUGAUUAUUCUAACCAGCCCGCUGUUACCAGGCUGCAGUUCAUCAUUUCCCCACCCUUCCCAAGACAGCUUUUACAGCCACUCUGACAUCAAACAUUUCCACUUUCCUUGUUAGUCAAAUAAAACUC
Molecule: long non-coding RNA, 478 nt
Organism: Malaclemys terrapin pileata
Lineage: Eukaryota; Metazoa; Chordata; Testudines; Emydidae
Exons: 3
Source: RefSeq, a predicted model, not a curated record